Molecule: ribosomal RNA, 1138 nt
Filed under: Flavobacterium sp.
Lineage: Bacteria; Pseudomonadati; Bacteroidota; Flavobacteriia; Flavobacteriales; Flavobacteriaceae
Description: bacterial SSU rRNA
Rfam family: Bacterial small subunit ribosomal RNA
Source: RNAcentral
GGUAUAGUUCUUCGGAACUAGAGACCGGCGCACGGGUGCGUAACGCGUAUGCAAUCUACCUUUUACAGAGGGAUAGCCCAGAGAAAUUUGGAUUAAUACCUCAUAGCAUAGCAACUUCGCAUGAAGUCACUAUUAAAGUCACAACGGUAAAAGAUGAGCAUGCGUCCCAUUAGCUAGUUGGUAAGGUAACGGCUUACCAAGGCUACGAUGGGUAGGGGUCCUGAGAGGGAGAUCCCCCACAAUGGUACUGAGACACGGACCAGACUCCUACGGGAGGCAGCAGUGAGGAAUAUUGGACAAUGGGCGCAAGCCUGAUCCAGCCAUGCCGCGUGCAGGAUGACGGUCCUAUGGAUUGUAAACUGCUUUUAUACGAGAAGAAACACUCCAACGUGUUGGAGCUUGACGGUAUCGUAAGAAUAAGGAUCGGCUAACUCCGUGCCAGCAGCCGCGGUAAUACGGAGGAUCCAAGCGUUAUCCGGAAUCAUUGGGUUUAAAGGGUCCGUAGGCGGUUUAGUAAGUCAGUGGUGAAAGCCCAUCGCUCAACGGUGGAACGGCCAUUGAUACUGCUAAACUUGAAUUAUUAGGAAGUAACUAGAAUAUGUAGUGUAGCGGUGAAAUGCUUAGAGAUUACAUGGAAUACCAAUUGCGAAGGCAGGUUACUACUAAUGGAUUGACGCUGAUGGACGAAAGCGUGGGUAGCGAACAGGAUUAGAUUACCCUGGUAGUCCACGCCGUAAACGAUGGAUACUAGCUGUUGGAAGCAAUUUCAGUGGCUAAGCGAAAGUGAUAAGUAUCCCACCUGGGGAGUACGUUCGCAAGAAUGAAACUCAAAGGAAUUGACGGGGGCCCGCACAAGCGGUGGAGCAUGUGGUUUAAUUCGAUGAUACGCGAGGAACCUUACCAAGGCUUAAAUGUAGAUUGACCGGUUUGGAAACAGAUCUUUCGCAAGACAAUUUACAAGGUGCUGCAUGGUUGUCGUCAGCUCGUGCCGUGAGGUGUCAGGUUAAGUCCUAUAACGAGCGCAACCCCUGUUGUUAGUUGCCAGCGAGUCAUGUCGGGAACUCUAACAAGACUGCCAGUGCAAACUGUGAGGAAGGUGGGGAUGACGUCAAAUCAUCACGGCCCUUACGCCUUGGGC